Cloeon dipterum is the source of this 634-nucleotide long non-coding RNA. RefSeq lists it as uncharacterized. The transcript has 3 exons. The record is from RefSeq and is a predicted model, not a curated record. NCBI's taxonomy places the organism in Eukaryota, Metazoa, Arthropoda, Insecta, Ephemeroptera, Baetidae.
ACGGUGGCACGAGAGGUGCAGCAGUCAGUCUGAGACGUCCCGCCAGCAGCCGUGCCAAGGCUGGAGCACCUCUGGGGCAUGCUGCAGUGAGAGGCGGUUGCCCUGGGCGCCCUGCUAGCCGCCAAACACUUCGAAGCUGGCAGUUGGAGAGUGGUUGGCGACCGAGCUGGGUGGCGAAGGAGUUGUCUGCGUGUUGGGGCAUGUCUGAGUCCAGACGGUGGCACGAGAGGUGCAGCAGUCAGUCUGAGACGUCCCGCCAGCAGCCGUGCCAAGGCUGGAGCACCUCUGGGGCAUGCUGCAGUGAGAGGCGGUUGCCCUGGGCGCCCUGCUAGCCGCCAAACACUUCGAAGCUGGCAGUUGGAGAGUGGUUGGCGACCGAGCUGGGUGGCGAAGGAGUUGUCUGCGUGUUGGGGCAUGUGAGAGUCCAGACGGUGGCACGAGAGGUGCAGCAGGCAGUCUGAGACGCCCCGCCAGCAGCCUUGCCAAGGCUGGGAGUCCCCAGGAGCACCUCUGGGGCAUGCUGCAGUGAGAGGCGGUUGCCCUGGGCGCCCUGCUAGCCGCCAAACACCUCGAAGCUGGCAGUUGGAGAGUGGUUGGCGACCGAGCUGGGUGGCGAAGGAGUUGUCUGCGUGUG